RNAcentral lists this ribosomal RNA (405 nucleotides) under Triticum aestivum (bread wheat). RNAcentral's name for it is "partial small subunit ribosomal RNA". Lineage: Eukaryota; Viridiplantae; Streptophyta; Magnoliopsida; Poales; Poaceae. The record is from RNAcentral.
AUGAUUACUGGCAUUGGCCACACCACUCCUGGCAAUCCUGUCGCUUUAUCAAAGCAUACUGCCAAGGACGAGCUUUCUGCUAUCGGCAAAGGCAAAUGGAACGCCGAUUUGUCAAGCUAUGCCCAUCUCAAUGCUCAAGACAUUCACUCUGGCUUCUUGAACCGUCUGUACACCAGUCGCGACUAUGAAGCCGGUUUGGUAAACUUGAUGAAAGAGCGAUACGAGGCUGAACUGAGCAAAAAAGAAACUCAAACAACUGAUCUGCAAGAAAACAUCAAGUCCCAGCAAGCCGAAAUCUCCAAAGCCAAGGAUGAGCUGACCAGCGCUUUAGCCCCUAUGGAAAAACUGAAGGAGAGUUUCAACAAAGAGCGGGCAGAUUGGGGCACAGAAAAAUCCGCUUUAUAG